GAUGAACGCUAGCGGCAGGCUUAACACAUGCAAGUCGAGGGGUAACAGGGAAGAGCUUGCUUUUGUGCUGACGACCGGCGCACGGGUGCGUAACGCGUAUAGAACCUACCUUUUACAGGGGAAUAGCCCAGAGAAAUUUGGAUUAAUGCCCCAUAGUAUUAUUGAAUGGCAUCAUUUAAUAAUUAAACAUUUAUGGGUAAAAGAUGGCUAUGCGUUCUAUUAGCUAGAUGGUAAGGUAACGGCUUACCAUGGCAACGAUAGAUAGGGGUCCUGAGAGGGAGAUCCCCCACACUGGUACUGAGACACGGACCAGACUCCUACGGGAGGCAGCAGUGAGGAAUAUUGGACAAUGGAGGCAACUCUGAUCCAGCCAUGCCGCGUGCAGGAAGACGGUCCUAUGGAUUGUAAACUGCUUUUAUAUAGGAAGAAACCUUUCCACGUGUGGAAAGCUGACGGUACUAUAAGAAUAAGCACCGGCUAACUCCGUGCCAGCAGCCGCGGUAAUACGGAGGGUGCAAGCGUUAUCCGGAAUCAUUGGGUUUAAAGGGUCCGUAGGCGGACUAAUAAGUCAGGGGUGAAAUCCAACAGCUUAACUGUUGAACUGCCUUUGAUACUGUUAGUCUUGAGUUAUAUGGAAGUAGAUAGAAUAUGUAGUGUAGC
This 660-nucleotide ribosomal RNA is filed under the name Lutibacter sp. Its description in RNAcentral is "bacterial SSU rRNA". It matches the Rfam family "Bacterial small subunit ribosomal RNA", at positions 28 to 679 of the family's 1533-position model. The record is from RNAcentral. Lineage: Bacteria; Pseudomonadati; Bacteroidota; Flavobacteriia; Flavobacteriales; Flavobacteriaceae.